RNAcentral lists this microRNA precursor (65 nucleotides) under Tupaia belangeri (northern tree shrew). RNAcentral's name for it is "miRNA (ENSTBEG00000020784.1)". The record is from RNAcentral. Lineage: Eukaryota; Metazoa; Chordata; Mammalia; Scandentia; Tupaiidae.
GUGAAAUGCGAGUGCCUAGUGUGCCACUUUUGGUAAGCAGACUGGCGCUGCGAGAUGAACCGAAC